UUUCCGUAGGUGAACCUGCGGAAGGAUCAUUAACGAAGACGCAACCGCGAGGGCUGUGCUGGCGCGAGCAUGUGCACGCCCCCCUCGUCGUCCCGUCCAUUUCACACCCGUGCACAACGCCUGUCGGACGGGGAGGGCCCCGCGCGCCCCGUCCGACCCUUCUCACAUCAGCCUCAGUCCGAACCGAAUGUCGAAUGCGUAAACGCAACCGAAAUACAACUUUUAACAACGGAUCUCUUGGUUCUC
This 246-nucleotide unclassified non-coding RNA is filed under the name plant metagenome. Its description in RNAcentral is "partial contains small subunit ribosomal RNA, internal transcribed spacer 1, and 5.8S ribosomal RNA". The record is from RNAcentral.